RNAcentral lists this ribosomal RNA (774 nucleotides) under uncultured Neocallimastigales. RNAcentral's name for it is "partial large subunit ribosomal RNA". It matches the Rfam family "Eukaryotic large subunit ribosomal RNA", at positions 22 to 639 of the family's 3401-position model. Lineage: Eukaryota; Fungi; Neocallimastigomycota; Neocallimastigomycetes; Neocallimastigales. The record is from RNAcentral.
GUACACGCUGUGACUAGCAUAUCAAUAAGCGGAGGAAAAGAAACUAACAAGGAUUCCCCUAGUAACGGCGAGUGAAGCGGGAAGAGCUCAAAUUUGAAAUCUUAAAGGGUUUCCCUUUACGAAUUGUAGUUUAAAGAAGUGUUUUCUGUUGAGGUUUUGGUAAAAGUUCUUUGGAAUAGGACAUCAUAGAGGGUGAGAAUCCCGUAUUUGACCUUUACUUUCAACUUUGUGAUACACUUUCAAAGAGUCGGAUUGUUUGGGAAUGCAGUCCAAAAUGGGUGGUAAAUUUCAUCUAAGGCUAAAUAUUGGCGAGAGACCGAUAGCGAACAAGUACCGUGAGGGAAAGAUGAAAAGAACUUUGAAAAGAGAGUUAAACAGUACGUGAAAUUGUCAAAAGGGAAGCGUUUGACACCAGUGUUGUUUUUCUGAAAAUCAAUUAAAGAACUGUUUAUGCUAAGUUGUUUAGACUUUAUCAGCUAACUGUUUAGUUUUGAGCUUUUCUUUAAUGCACUUUUCAGUUAACAAGUCAACAUCAAUUUCUUUUGCUGUAAAAAAGCUUGAGGAAGGUGGCUUGAGAUUCGUCCUAAGUGCUUAUAGCCUCUUGCCUAUGCAGUCGGAGAGAUUGAGGUCUGCAGCGUAGAUCCUUCGGGGCUAAAUGCAUUUGUGCUAAGUUAUAGCAUUUUAUAGACAACUUGUUGACUAUGAUUUGUCUUGUAGCUUACUCGCUUAUGUUAUUUUACCUACGCUUAGGAUGUUGACGCGCGUGUGUGCGUG